AUGACUUCAACGUUCAAUCGCGUCUGCCGGCCAUCCCGCCUCCCGCCCUUACCGCUCAGUCUUCGCCAACCAAAAACAACCGUCCCAAAGCUCAGGUCCUCUCCAGGGACUUCUGCCUGGUUCCUGGCCCAUUCCUUCCAAGCAGGGAGCAGAAAAACCAGUUUCCCUCGUCUUCUCCCUUCCCAGGAGCGGUUAAGCGUAAUGGGCCGGAGGCGGCUGUCCCGGCAGCAGUCAGACGGCCUCCAGCCCCUCGCGGAAGGGAACCUGAGAAGGGGCUGGGGGACUCUCGCCGAGCUCGGUCUCCCCGGACUCUCGGGCCGAGAGAGCCGCAAAGGCGUCUCAGCACUGCCGGGACGGGGCGCGGUGGAGGGAGCCGGGCCGCUUGGGGAUUUUCCUCCAGCGCCUCUUGUCCCAGCGGCAGAGCAGCAGCAGGCGGAAGGUGUCGCGGAAGGCCUUGUUGCAGAGCGCGUAGCACAUGGGGUUGACGGUGCUGUUGACGUAGCAGAGCCAGUAGCCCAGCUCCCAGAGCCGGUUGGGGACGCAGUUCUUGCAGAAGGUGGACACGAGCACCAUGAUGUUGUAGGGGGUCCAGGUGAGGAUGAAGGCCAGCAGGAUGGCGCUCAGGGUCUUGGCUGCCUUCUUCUCUUUGACGAGCGAGAAGGUUUUCCGCUUGGUCAGCUGCCCCUUCCCUUUCCUCUUGGGCGCCUUGGGGGCCCGCCCCUUCCUGGGGGGGCGCUUGGCGGUCUGGGGGGGGCUCCGGGGAGGCGGACACGAGGCGGGGGGCUGGGGGGCCGAGCCCACCAUGGGCAUCUUGAUGGCCACCGGCAAGCCCGGCUCCUCGCCCUCGGAGGAGGUCAGGGACUCCGGGGAGCCGUCGUCCUCGUCGUCGUCCUCCUCCUCCUCCUCCUCCUUCCAGCUGUAGGAGGGCAGGGCCACGGGGCCCCAGCAGCUGCCGCCACCACUCCCCCCAGCUCCCCCGGCGCCCCCAGCCCCGCCACCCCCGCAGCAGCAGCAGCAGCAGCGACGGCAGCGGGGCCCGGGCCGGGGCUCGGGGCCGGCCUGGGCCGCCGGCGCCGGCUGGGACCGCUCGGAGCUGCUGCUGCUCCCCCCGCCCUUGCCCGCGGUCUCCGAGCCCUGGAGGGCGGCCAGCUCCCGGGCCCGGUUCUCCGUCUCCCGGUAGAUGCGCCAAUAGAGGGCACACAUGACGGUGACGGGCAGGUAGAAGGCCGCCAUGGCGGUGCCGAAGGUGAUGACGGGCUCCGACAGGAACUGGAUGUAGCAGUCCCCCGGCUUCACCGUCCGCUCCCCGACCAGGUACUGCCAGAAGAGGAUGGCCGGGGCCCAGAGGACGAAGGACACCAGCCAGGCCAGGCCGAUCAUCAGGGCCGCCCGGCGCGGCGUCCGCUUGGCCCGGUAGCUCAGGGGCCGGGUCACGGAGAAGUAGCGGUCGAAGCUGAUGAGCAGCAGGUUCAUGACGGAGGCGUUGCUGGCCACGUAGUCCAGGGCCAGCCAGAGGUCGCAGGCCAGCGUGCCCAGGGCCCAACGGCCCAUGAUCACGUAAGUGGUGUACAGGUUCAUGGACACGGCGCCGAUGAUCAGGUCGGCGCAGGCCAGGCUCAGCAGGAAGUAGUUGUUGACCGUCUUCAGCUCCGCGUUCACCUUGAAGGACACCAGCACCAGGAGGUUGCCGGUCACGGUGGCCAGGGACAGCAGGCCGGUGGUCAGGGCGAUCAGAGCCACCUGCCAGGGCCCUUUGCCGUCCUCGGGGAGAGCGGUGCCGUUGGGGCCGACAGGCGGGGAGGCGGAGAUGUUCAUGGUGGGGGAGGGGCCGGCACCCCCUUCACCCUUUUUUCCUUUCCCCCAUCCCAACCCACGCUCCCCUGCAGGCCUUGCCAGCCUGUGGCUCCAACCGCCUCCGGCUCCUUAGUCGGUCGCCCCCCGGUUUCUGCUCGGUCUUUCCAGAAGGAACUGUCCGCCGG
RNAcentral lists this long non-coding RNA (1979 nucleotides) under Ornithorhynchus anatinus (platypus). RNAcentral describes it as "lncRNA (ENSOANG00000039003.1)". The record is from RNAcentral. Lineage: Eukaryota; Metazoa; Chordata; Mammalia; Monotremata; Ornithorhynchidae.